UUUCUUUUCCCAUUUGCCCAUGAUUAUGAAUUAAAUGGUUCUGAACCUGUGGAAAUAGUUGUUAGUUGUAAUAACAAGAAAUUUAGUUCACUACUUGUGAAACGUUUAAUUAUUCGAAUGUAUCAGCAGAAUUUUUUGGAAACAUCAUCUAUUCGAAUAGCCGCGUCCGUGGUAAAGGACCACUUGGUUGCCUAUACAGUUCAUAGACAAGUAAAUGGAUACUCAUAA
RNAcentral lists this ribosomal RNA (228 nucleotides) under Triticum aestivum (bread wheat). RNAcentral describes it as "partial small subunit ribosomal RNA". The record is from RNAcentral. Lineage: Eukaryota; Viridiplantae; Streptophyta; Magnoliopsida; Poales; Poaceae.